Molecule: ribosomal RNA, 301 nt
Filed under: uncultured bacterium
Lineage: Bacteria
Description: partial 16S ribosomal RNA
Rfam family: Bacterial small subunit ribosomal RNA
Source: RNAcentral
CAGUCGCCGCGGUAAUACGAAGGGUGCAAGCGUUACUCGGAAUUACUGGGCGUAAAGCGUGCGUAGGUGGUGGUUUAAGUCCGUUGUGAAAGCCCUGGGCUCAACCUGGGAAUUGCAGUGGAUACUGGAUCACUAGAGUGUGGUAGAGGAUAGUGGAAUUUCCGGUGUAGCAGUGAAAUGCGUAGAGAUCGGAAGGAACAUCUGUGGCGAAGGCGACUAUCUGGGCCAACACUGACACUGAGGCACGAAAGCGUGGGGAGCAAACAGGAUUAGAGACCCCCGUAGUCCCUGUCUCUUAUAC